This 249-nucleotide ribosomal RNA is filed under the name uncultured organism. RNAcentral's name for it is "partial 16S ribosomal RNA". It matches the Rfam family "Bacterial small subunit ribosomal RNA", at positions 355 to 596 of the family's 1533-position model. The record is from RNAcentral.
UGGGGAAUUUUCCGCAAUGGGCGAAAGCCUGAUGGAGCGACGCCGCGUGGGGGAUGAAGGGCUUCGGCUCGUAAACCCCUGUCAUUCGCGAGCAAGGUCGUUGGCCGAACAAGCCGAUGACUUGAUAGUAGCGAAAGAGGAAGGGACGGCUAACUCUGUGCCAGCAGCCGCGGUAAUACAGAGGUCCCGAGCGUUGGUCGGAUUCACCGGGCGUAAAGGGUGCGCAGGCGGCCGGGUAAGUCUUAGGGG